UUAAGCGACUAAGCGUACACGGUGGAUGCCCUGGCAGUCAGAGGCGAUGAAGGACGUGCUAAUCUGCGAAAAGCGCCGGCGAGGUGAUAUGAACCUUUGACCCGGCGAUGUCCGAAUGGGGAAACCCAGUGUGAUUCGUCACACUAUCGUUAACUGAAUACAUAGGUUAACGAGGCGAACCGGGGGAACUGAAACAUCUAAGUACCCCGAGGAAAAGAAAUCAACCGAGAUUCCCCCAGUAGCGGCGAGCGAACGGGGAGCAGCCCAGAGUCUGAAUCAGCUUGUGUGUUAGUGGAACGGUCUGGAAAGUCCGGCGAUACAGGGUGACAGCCCCGUACACGAAAAUGCACAGGUUGUGAACUCGAAGAGUAGGGCGGGACACGUGGUAUCCUGUCUGAAUAUGGGGGGACCAUCCUCCAAGGCUAAAUACUCCUGACUGACCGAUAGUGAACCAGUACCGUGAGGGAAAGGCGAAAAGAACCCCGGCGAGGGGAGUGAAAAAGAACCUGAAACCGUGUACGUACAAGCAGUGGGAGCACCUUCGUGGUGUGACUGCGUACCUUUUGUAUAAUGGGUCAGCGACUUAUAUUCUGUAGCAAGGUUAACCGUAUAGGGGAGCCGAAGGGAAACCGAGUCUUAACUGGGCGUUAAGUUGCAGGGUAUAGACCCGAAACCCGGUGAUCUAGCCAUGGGCAGGUUGAAGGUUGGGUAACACUAACUGGAGGACCGAACCGACUAAUGUUGAAAAAUUAGCGGAUGACUUGUGGCUGGGGGUGAAAGGCCAAUCAAACCGGGAGAUAGCUGGUUCUCCCCGAAAGCUAUUUAGGUAGCGCCUCGUGAACUCAUCUUCGGGGGUAGAGCACUGUUUCGGCUAGGGGGCCAUCCCGGCUUACCAACCCGAUGCAAACUACGAAUACCGAAGAAUGUUAUCACGGGAGACACACGGCGGGUGCUAACGUCCGUCGUGAAGAGGGAAACAACCCAGACCGCCAGCUAAGGUCCCAAAGUCAUGGUUAAGUGGGAAACGAUGUGGGAAGGCACAGACAGCCAGGAUGUUGGCUUAGAAGCAGCCAUCAUUUAAAGAAAGCGUAAUAGCUCACUGGUCGAGUCGGCCUGCGCGGAAGAUGUAACGGGGCUAAACCAUGCACCGAAGCUGCGGCAGCGACACUAUGUGUUGUUGGGUAGGGGAGCGUUCUGUAAGCCGUUGAAGGUGUGCUGUGAGGCAUGCUGGAGGUAUCAGAAGUGCGAAUGCUGACAUAAGUAACGAUAAAGCGGGUGAAAAGCCCGCUCGCCGGAAGACCAAGGGUUCCUGUCCAACGUUAAUCGGGGCAGGGUGAGUCGACCCCUAAGGCGAGGCCGAAAGGCGUAGUCGAUGGGAAACAGGUUAAUAUUCCUGUACUUGGUGUUACUGCGAAGGGGGGACGGAGAAGGCUAUGUUAGCCGGGCGACGGUUGUCCCGGUUUAAGCAUGUAGGCGGAACGAUUAGGUAAAUCCGGUCGUUUUUUAACGCUGAGGUGUGAUGACGAGGCACUACGGUGCUGAAGUAACAAAUGCCCUGCUUCCAGGAAAAGCCUCUAAGCAUCAGGUAACAUCAAAUCGUACCCCAAACCGACACAGGUGGUCAGGUAGAGAAUACCAAGGCGCUUGAGAGAACUCGGGUGAAGGAACUAGGCAAAAUGGUGCCGUAACUUCGGGAGAAGGCACGCUGAUAUGUAGGUGAAGCCCCUGCGGGUGGAGCUGAAAUCAGUCGAAGAUACCAGCUGGCUGCAACUGUUUAUUAAAAACACAGCACUGUGCAAACACGAAAGUGGACGUAUACGGUGUGACGCCUGCCCGGUGCCGGAAGGUUAAUUGAUGGGGUUAGCGGCAACGCGAAGCUCUUGAUCGAAGCCCCGGUAAACGGCGGCCGUAACUAUAACGGUCCUAAGGUAGCGAAAUUCCUUGUCGGGUAAGUUCCGACCUGCACGAAUGGCGUAAUGAUGGCCAGGCUGUCUCCACCCGAGACUCAGUGAAAUUGAACUCGCUGUGAAGAUGCAGUGUACCCGCGGCAAGACGGAAAGACCCCGUGAACCUUUACUAUAGCUUGACACUGAACACUGGUCCUUGAUGUGUAGGAUAGGUGGGAGGCUUUGAAGCGUGGACGCCAGUCUGCGUGGAGCCGACCUUGAAAUACCACCCUUUAAUGGCUGGUGUUCUAACGUAGACCCGUGAUCCGGGUUGCGGACAGUGUCUGGUGGGUAGUUUGACUGGGGCGGUCUCCUCCCAAAGAGUAACGGAGGAGCACGAAGGUUAGCUAAUCCUGGUCGGACAUCAGGAGGUUAGUGCAAUGGCAUAAGCUAGCUUGACUGCGAGAGUGACGGCUCGAGCAGGUGCGAAAGCAGGUCAUAGUGAUCCGGUGGUUCUGAAUGGAAGGGCCAUCGCUCAACGGAUAAAAGGUACUCCGGGGAUAACAGGCUGAUACCGCCCAAGAGUUCAUAUCGACGGCGGUGUUUGGCACCUCGAUGUCGGCUCAUCACAUCCUGGGGCUGAAGUAGGUCCCAAGGGUAUGGCUGUUCGCCAUUUAAAGUGGUACGCGAGCUGGGUUUAGAACGUCGUGAGACAGUUCGGUCCCUAUCUGCCGUGGGCGCUGGAGAAUUGAGGGGGGCUGCUCCUAGUACGAGAGGACCGGAGUGGACGCAUCACUGGUGUUCGGGUUGUCAUGCCAAUGGCAUUGCCCGGUAGCUAAAUGCGGAAGAGAUAAGUGCUGAAAGCAUCUAAGCACGAAACUUGCCCCGAGAUGAGUUCUCCCUGACUCCUUGAGAGUCCUGAAGGAACGUUGAAGACGACGACGUUGAUAGGUCGGGUGUGUAAGCGUAGCGAUACGUUGAGCUAACCGAUACUAAUGAACCGUGAGGCUUAACCU
Molecule: ribosomal RNA, 2902 nt
Filed under: Enterobacter cloacae
Lineage: Bacteria; Pseudomonadati; Pseudomonadota; Gammaproteobacteria; Enterobacterales; Enterobacteriaceae
Description: 23S ribosomal RNA
Rfam family: Bacterial large subunit ribosomal RNA
Source: RNAcentral